AGUGAACGCUGGCGGCAGGCCUAAUACAUGCAAGUCGAACGGCAGCACAGCAGAGCUUGCUCUGUGGGUGGCGAGUGGCGGACGGGUGAGGAAUACAUGGGAAUCUGCCCAGUCGUGGGGGAUAACGUAUGGAAACGUACGCUAAUACCGCAUGCGCCCUACGGGGGAAAGGCCGGGGACCUUCGGGCCGUGGCGCGAUUGGAUGAGCCCAUGUUCGAUUAGCUGGUUGGCGGGGUAAAGGCCCACCAAGGCGACGAUCGAUAGCUGGUCUGAGAGGAUGAUCAGCCACACUGGAACUGAGACACGGUCCAGACUCCUACGGGAGGCAGCAGUAGGGAAUAUUGGACAAUGGGGGCGAACCCUGAUCCAGCCAUGCCGCGUGAGUGAAGAAGGCCCUCGGGUUGUAAAGCUCUUUUGUCCGGAAAGAAAAGCAUCUGGUUAAUACCCGGGGUUUCUGACGGGUACCGGAAGAAUAAGCACCGGCUAACUUCGUGCCAGC
This 499-nucleotide ribosomal RNA is filed under the name uncultured bacterium. Its description in RNAcentral is "bacterial SSU rRNA". It matches the Rfam family "Bacterial small subunit ribosomal RNA", at positions 29 to 512 of the family's 1533-position model. The record is from RNAcentral.